This 127-nucleotide long non-coding RNA is filed under the name Cyanistes caeruleus (blue tit). RNAcentral's name for it is "lncRNA (ENSCCEG00000013391.1)". Lineage: Eukaryota; Metazoa; Chordata; Aves; Passeriformes; Paridae. The record is from RNAcentral.
CGCAGCUGGUAAAUGUGGCAUAGGACCUGUAGCAGAGCUGUUCACGUCAGGAACUUGUAGGGGAGGCUGUCUAAGGUGCGACAGAAGGAGUACUUCACAUUAAGAAAGACUAAUUUUCCUGCUGAAU